Molecule: ribosomal RNA, 1947 nt
Filed under: marine metagenome
Description: bacterial LSU rRNA
Rfam family: Bacterial large subunit ribosomal RNA
Source: RNAcentral
GACCGAUAGCGAACCAGUACCGUGAGGGAAAGGUGAAAAGCACCCCGACGAGGGGAGUGAAACAGUACCUGAAACCGGACGCCUACAAUCAGUUGGAGGGGCAUAAGCCCUGACAGCGUACCUUUUGUAUAAUGGGUCAUCGACUUGGUCUAUCUAGCAAGCUUAAGCCGUUAGGUGUAGGCGCAGCGAAAGCGAGUCUUAAUAGGGCGCAUGAGUUAGAUGGAUCAGACCCGAAACCGAGUGAUCUAGGCAUGACCAGGAUGAAGAUAAGGUAACACUUAUUGGAGGUCCGAACCCACACCUGUUGAAAAAGGUCGGGAUGAGUUGUGCCUAGGGGUGAAAGGCCAAUCAAACUCGGAGAUAGCUGGUUCUCCGCGAAAUCUAUUUAGGUAGAGCGUCAUCCGAAUACCCCGGGGGGUAGAGCACUGGAUGGGUAAUGGGGCCCCACAGGCUUACUGAUCCUAACCAAACUCCGAAUACCCGGGAGUACUAGAUGGCAGACACACUGCGGGUGCUAACGCCCGUAGUGGAGAGGGAAACAACCCUGACCGACAGUUAAGGCCCCCAAUUCAUGGCUAAGUGGGAAAGCAGGUGGGACGACCAAAACAACCAGGAGGUUGGCUUAGAAGCAGCCAUCCUUUAAAGAUAGCGUAACAGCUCACUGGUCUAAAUAAGUUGUCCUGCGGCGAAGAUGUAACGGGGCUCAAGCCAUGAGCCGAAACUUCGGACGCGAGUAAUCGCGUGGUAGCGGAGCGUAGUGUGAAAUAGCACCACGCCUCUUUAGCAAUUCUUUUGAAUUGCCUUGGAGGCUUAGGUGCUUUCUGUGAAGCCGGGCUGUAAGGCAUCCGGUGGAGAGAUCACUAGUGAGAAUGAUGACAUGAGUAGCGACAAAGAGUGUGAGAGACACUCUCGCCGAAAGUCCAAGGGUUCCUGCUUAAAGCUAAUCUGAGCAGGGUAAGCCGGCCCCUAAGUCGAGGCAGAAAUGCGUAGACGAUGGGAACUAGGUUAAUAUUCCUAGGCCAGGAGGAUGUGACGGAUCAUGAAGGUUGUUCACCCUUAUUGGAUUGGGUGGGCCGCUAAUUGGUUCCUGGAAAUAGCCCUCCAUUAGACCGUACCCUAAACCGACACAGGUGGACUGGUAGAGCAUACCAAGGCGCUUGAGAGAACUAUGUUGAAGGAACUCGGCAAAAUACCUCCGUAAGUUCGCGAGAAGGAGGCCCGGUUCCUAGGCAACUAGGGGCUGGGGGCACAAACCAGGGGGUGGCGACUGUUUACUAAAAACACAGGGCUCUGCGAAGUCGCAAGACGACGUAUAGGGUCUGACGCCUGCCCGGUGCCUGAAGGUUAAAAGGAGGGGUGAGAGCUCUGAAUUGAAGCCCAGGUAAACGGCGGCCGUAACUAUAACGGUCCUAAGGUAGCGAAAUUCCUUGUCGGGUAAGUUCCGACCUGCACGAAUGGCGUAACGACUUCCCCGCUGUCUCCAACAUAGACUCAGCGAAAUUGAAUUGCCUGUCAAGAUGCAGGCUUCCCGCGGUUAGACGGAAAGACCCCGUGCACCUUUACUACAGCUUCGCACUGGCAUCAGGCACAACAUGUGCAGGAUAGGUGGUGGGCUUUGAAGCAGAAACGCCAGUUUCUGUGGAGCCUCCCUUGAGAUACCACCCUUGUUCUGCUUGAUGUCUAACCGCGGUCCGUUAUCCGGAUCCGGGACCCUGCGUGGCGGGUAGUUUGACUGGGGCGGUCGCCUCCUAAAGAGUAACGGAGGCGCGCGAAGGUUGGCUCAGAGCGGUCGGAAAUCGCUCGUUGAGUGCAAUGGCAGAAGCCAGCCUGACUGCGAGACUGACAAGUCGAGCAGAGACGAAAGUCGGCCAUAGUGAUCCGGUGGUCCCGAGUGGAAGGGCCAUCGCUCAACGGAUAAAAGGUACGCCGGGGAUAACAGGCUGAUAC